Molecule: ribosomal RNA, 380 nt
Filed under: Enterobryus sp.
Lineage: Eukaryota; Ichthyosporea; Ichthyophonida; Eccrinaceae
Description: partial small subunit ribosomal RNA
Rfam family: Eukaryotic small subunit ribosomal RNA
Source: RNAcentral
AGCUCCAAUAGCGUAUAUUAAAGUUGUUGCAGUUAAAAAGCUCGUAGUCCGAUUUCGGACAUAGCCGAACGGUUUGGCGCAAGUCAGUACUGUUUGGCUGUGUCUUCCUCGUGAAGGCUGCGUGUGCUCUUAGUUGAGUGUGCGUAGGAUUCGCGACGUUUACUUUGAAAAAAUUAGAGUGUUCAAAGCAGGCAUACGCUUGAAUACAUUAGCAUGGAAUAAUGGAAUAGGAUCUCGGUUCUAUUUUGUUGGUUUUUAGGACCUUGAUAAUGAUUAAUAGGGACAGUUGGGGGCAUUAAUAUUUAAUUGUCAGAGGUGAAAUUCUUGGAUUUAUGAAAGAUUAACUUCUGCGAAAGCAUUUGCCAAGGAUGUUUUCAUUG